UACAGAGGGUGCAAGCGUUAAUCGGAAUUAUUGGGCGUAAAGGGCUUGUAGGCGGUUAGAUAAGUUAGGUGUGAAAACCCUGGGCUCAACCUGGGGCUGGCACUUAAUACUGUUUAGCUAGAGUAUAGGAGAGGAGAAGGGAAUUCCUGGUGUAGCGGUGAAAUGCGUAGAUAUCAGGAGGAACACCGGUGGCGAAGGCGCUUCUCUGGCCUAAUACUGACGCUGAGGAGCGAAGGCGUGGGGAUCAAACAGG
RNAcentral lists this ribosomal RNA (253 nucleotides) under uncultured organism. Its description in RNAcentral is "partial 16S ribosomal RNA". It matches the Rfam family "Bacterial small subunit ribosomal RNA", at positions 524 to 776 of the family's 1533-position model. The record is from RNAcentral.